AGUGAACGCUGGCGGUAGGCCUAACACAUGCAAGUCGAACGGCAGCACAGGAGAGCUUGCUCUCUGGGUGGCGAGUGGCGGACGGGUGAGGAAUACAUCGGAAUCUGCCCAGUCGUGGGGGAUAACGUAGGGAAACUUACGCUAAUACCGCAUACGACCUUCGGGUGAAAGAGGGGGAUCGCAAGACCUCUCGCGAUUGGAUGAGCCGAUGUCGGAUUAGCUAGUUGGCGGGGUAAUGGCCCACCAAGGCGACGAUCCGUAGCUGGUCUGAGAGGAUGAUCAGCCACACUGGAACUGAGACACGGUCCAGACUCCUGCGGGAGGCAGCAGUGGGGAAUAUUGGACAAUGGGCGCAAGCCUGAUCCAGCCAUACCGCGUGGGUGAAGAAGGCCUUCGGGUUGUAAAGCCCUUUUGUUGGGAAAGAAAUCUUUCAGGCUAAUACCCUGGGAGGAUGACGGUACCCAAAGAAUAAGCACCGGCUAACUUCGUG
Molecule: ribosomal RNA, 490 nt
Filed under: uncultured bacterium
Lineage: Bacteria
Description: partial 16S ribosomal RNA
Rfam family: Bacterial small subunit ribosomal RNA
Source: RNAcentral